CUGAGACUCAGAUGUUGUUGCACGUUCCAGAGAGGACAGAGGUAAAAUGUCUGUUUGAACUCCUGACUCCCGGGUGACCCGCUCUACAGCUGUCAGCUGCUGUUUCUCCUGCAAGAUCCACUGCUGGACUAUUGGGUGAGGAUCCAGGUGAGGAAGUAGUACCACUUCUUAACAACAUCAAAACAGCUGGAUCAAGAAACACAGAGCGAUAUGACAACCAAAUACCUAUUUGUGGCUCUUCAAAUUGGUCCCGAGGUCCAAUGUGGGUAACUCCUUCCUGUAAGAAAAUGAUGUGAAAUAAACAUCAAAACCAAACAUGUGUUAUAGUGCUCAACUAAAAAGCAGUAGCACUUGAAACAACAAGAAUUGUGUUAAAGAACUGUUGCCCUUUUCUCAUUUCAAACCUUCGGCUUAGUUGAUAAACGCACAAUUUGUUUACUCUGAAGUCUUAUCUGAUGAGAUUAAAGGCUUUUCUAUAUGGUGUCAGAACCAUAUGUGCUCUCAGGUGGCCUCAGUUCUUCACAUGCAGGAAACAAUAUAAUUGUCAGACCUAAGGGUAUGCUUGUCAUUGUCAGAAUCAGGACAGCUUAAGCUCCCCGGAGUCCUAGCCUCAGAACUAAGAGCCUCUUAUUCGACUGAGCGUCAUGGAUUGUGGAAGAUAUUCAUACUGCGAAGAUGGGAGAUCGACAGGACAGUUGGAGGGUAAGAGUGAAAAGAAAAGACCAAAGAAACGCACCUUUUCUCAAGGGUUUUUCUAGCAGAACAGAGAGAAAUAGGAGGAGGAGGAGAAGAAUCUAGUCAAGACAGCUGACAAAAACGGCAACUUGAGAGCUGGGAAAAGUAGAGCAAAUGCAGAAAAUAGUUUGUGGGACUUUGCAUCAGGUUGCUCAUUCAAGCGUGUAUUUUUAGCAUGACAGUGGGGUGCAAAUAAGUGAUGUGAGUCUCUGGGGAUAAGGGAUUGAAUGAAAGUGCACCACCAACUGCUAAAAGGACGAACAUCACUGGUUCUAAAAGAAAUUUCCACCACUUGCUUAUUUUUCCUGUAUUACAAUGUUGAUAAUGACAAACAAAUCCAACCCUUUUUCUAUUUAUACAGGGACACAACAUAUCUAAUUGCAUUCUUCUCAUCAUACC
Long non-coding RNA from Betta splendens (Siamese fighting fish), 1134 nucleotides. RefSeq lists it as uncharacterized. The record is from RefSeq and is a predicted model, not a curated record. The transcript has 3 exons. NCBI's taxonomy places the organism in Eukaryota, Metazoa, Chordata, Actinopteri, Anabantiformes, Osphronemidae.